UUUUUGCGUGAGGGGUGGAGUGGAGCUCUUUUUUUAUCCCGUUUUUUUGCGGGAUAAAAAAAAGCGGGAACGGAGACCCGACCCGAA
RNAcentral lists this unclassified non-coding RNA (87 nucleotides) under Flavobacterium succinicans. RNAcentral's name for it is "Flavo-1 RNA". The record is from RNAcentral. Lineage: Bacteria; Pseudomonadati; Bacteroidota; Flavobacteriia; Flavobacteriales; Flavobacteriaceae.